UUAAGUUCAGCGGGUAUUCCUACCUGAUCCGAGGUCAACCUUAAAAAAUUGGGGGUUUUAUGGCAAAAACUACAGAACCUUCCAAAGCGAGAAAAAAUUACUACGCUCAGAGGCCACUGCGGCUCCGCCACUAGAUUUAAGGAACUACAAACGUAGACUCCCAACACUAAGCUAGGCUUAAGUGGUCAAAAUGACGCUCG
Molecule: unclassified non-coding RNA, 200 nt
Filed under: uncultured Cylindrium
Lineage: Eukaryota; Fungi; Ascomycota; Sordariomycetes; Hypocreales; Nectriaceae
Description: sequence contains ITS2
Source: RNAcentral